AACUAGCUCUGCGGAUCCUGAU
Molecule: microRNA, 22 nt
Filed under: Macaca fascicularis (crab-eating macaque)
Lineage: Eukaryota; Metazoa; Chordata; Mammalia; Primates; Cercopithecidae
Also listed under: 1 other name
Description: microRNA miR-4661-5p
Source: RNAcentral